This is a long non-coding RNA of Enhydra lutris kenyoni (northern sea otter), 560 nucleotides long. RefSeq lists it as uncharacterized. The record is from RefSeq and is a predicted model, not a curated record. The transcript has 4 exons. NCBI's taxonomy places the organism in Eukaryota, Metazoa, Chordata, Mammalia, Carnivora, Mustelidae.
CUGUCCCCAGGUCUCUCUUCCUUCAAAAGCCACCCAUGUCCUCCAGGCUACUGGUGUCCAGGUGAUCAAGGUGCCUUUCUCUGUCCACCUGGCACCUUUCGAACAAAGCCAGGGGCAUCAUCCCAAGAAGACUGUGAGCUCUGUCUCCCUGGCCACUACUGCCCCCAGGCUGAGCUUCAAGAUCAUGCAAAUGUGUUUGUGAUCCCCUGCAGAGCUGGAGCUGAGUGCCCUGAAGGUUCUGUGGCUGAGGUCACAUGCAGGGCUGGCUCCUACUGCGGGCCCCAGACAGGGGUCCCCCCACUUUGCCCUGGGGGCUAUGCCUGCCCUGCUGGCUCUUCCACCUACACUGGCCCAGGGCAGCUCUGCGUGUUUCCCUUUUACUGCCCCGUGGGCAGUGCCCAUCCACGUGCGUGCCCUGGGGCCUCUGAGGCCCUGAAUGGAACUGGCCUUAGGGUCUCCAAGGAGACUUGCUGCCGCCUCUGUGAAGCAGGCACCUACCGCAGCCAGGCCCUGGAUUCCCAGACCUGUCAGCCCUGUCCGCCUGGAUUCACCUGCUACCA